GGAGCAUGUGGUUUAAUUCGAAGCAACGCGCAGAACCUUACCAACCCUGGACAUCCCGUGCUACAUCCAGAGAUGGAUGGUUCCUUUCGGGGACGCGGUGACAGGUGCUGCAUGGCUGUCGUCAGCUCGUGUCGUGAGAUGUUCGCUUAAGUCCGGCAACGAGCGCAACCCACAUCCCUAGUUGCCAGCAGUUCGGCUGGGCACUCUAUGGAAACUGCCCGUGAUAAGCGGGAGGAAGGUGUGGAUGACGUCAAGUCCUCAUGGCCCUUACGGGUUGGGCUACACACGUGCUACAAUGGUGGUGACAGUGGGUUAAUCCCCAAAAACCAUCUCAGUUCGGAUUGGGGUCUGCAACUCGACCCCAUGAAGUCGGAAUCGCUAGUAAUCGCGUAACAGCAUGACGCGGUGAAUACGUUCCCGGGCCUUGUACACACCGCCCGUCACACCAUGGGAGUUGGUUCUACCCGACGACGCUGCGCUAACCUUCGGGGGGCAGGCGGCCACGGUAGGAUCAGCGACUGGGGUGAAGUCGUAAGCAAGUAACC
This 545-nucleotide ribosomal RNA is filed under the name uncultured bacterium. RNAcentral describes it as "bacterial SSU rRNA". It matches the Rfam family "Bacterial small subunit ribosomal RNA", at positions 934 to 1500 of the family's 1533-position model. The record is from RNAcentral.